Molecule: unclassified non-coding RNA, 750 nt
Filed under: Hevea brasiliensis (rubber tree)
Lineage: Eukaryota; Viridiplantae; Streptophyta; Magnoliopsida; Malpighiales; Euphorbiaceae
Source: RNAcentral
GCUAUCCGGUGCUUCGCCUGCUUUCAUGGGGCCUUGCUAUUUAAUAUUCUCUACUGGCAUUGUCGCAGAGGGAGUGGAUUGCCUGCAACUGAGCUUACCAUAACUACACUUGAAUCGUUGGUUCCAGUCCAUAAUUGGUACGACCGGACCGCGUCCAGGCCUAGCCCACGGCUAUAAAUUUCCCAGAUGGGUCUGGUGCACCAAACAAAAGGAAAAGGUCGAUUCAGUGCACCCGCGCUCAUAAGAAAACAAAAUGGUUGAUCCUAAUCAAUCACCUCAAUUUUAGUGACUUUGACCCCGUCAUUUGUCAUGACAUGAGUCAAACCCAACAAUGUCACGGCAUAUAAAAAAUUUCCUCCUUUUUUCAGCCCGUUGUAUGCGAAUGAUACUCUAAUCUUGAACGUUGGAUUGAAAUUAGGUUACAACAUCGAUCCUUAAUUAUCAGAGACAAGCAGUAAAGUGAGUCGGCUUCUUAUUCCGACUGCGCGCUAACUGCUACGUAUUUUGGAUCUAAGACGGCACUGAGCUGUGGGUUUGGUACUUGUUUCGUCAUUUCAUUUGCCAGGUAAGUGUGUUCUCUGAGGUUAACAAAAGUCCAGUUUUUAACCAUCUGUCCCGACCUUAUUCAAUUGUUUUAAAAUCAUUCUGUCCCAGAGAAGUUUAACAUAGUUCGUUUUGUGUUGGAUUUCUUGCUCCAGAGUAUCUCUCAUUUUUGGUUGACGUGAUUUCUUCAAAAUCUGAUCAUUGCGG